AUACGAAAGGUGCAAGCGUUGUUCGGAUUUACUGGGCGUAGAGAGAGUGGGGGUGGUUUAUUAAGUCGGAUGUGAAAUCCCGGGGCUCAACCUCGGAACUGCAUUCGAUACUGAUAGGCUAGAGUUUGGGAGAGGUAAGCGGAAUUCCGUGUGUAGCAGUGAAAUGCGUAGAUAUACGGAGGAACACCUGAGGCGAAGGCGGCUUACUGGACCAAUACUGACACUGAGACUCGAAAGCGUGGGUAGCAAACAGGAUUAGAUACCCUAGUAGUCC
This 274-nucleotide ribosomal RNA is filed under the name uncultured bacterium. Its description in RNAcentral is "partial 16S ribosomal RNA". It matches the Rfam family "Bacterial small subunit ribosomal RNA", at positions 523 to 796 of the family's 1533-position model. The record is from RNAcentral.